This 1395-nucleotide ribosomal RNA is filed under the name Cistapion cyanescens. RNAcentral's name for it is "partial 16S ribosomal RNA". Lineage: Eukaryota; Metazoa; Arthropoda; Insecta; Coleoptera; Brentidae. The record is from RNAcentral.
UUCAGAGGAACCUGUCCUGUAAUUGAUAGUCCACGAUUUAAUUUACUUAUUUUAAUAGUUUACAUAUCGCCAUAGAUUGAAUAUUUUAAAAGAAUAUUAAUAUUCAAGAAUUUUUUUUAGAAAAUAAAUUAGGUCAAGGUGUAGUUUAUAAAUAAGAUGAGAUGGGUUACAAUAAUAAAAAUUAAACGAAUUAUUUAUUUAAAAUUAUUAUGAAGGUGGAUUUGAAGGUAAUUUUAAUUAAUUUAUUAAAAUGAUUUUGGCUCUAAAAUAUGUACAUAUCGCCCGUCACUUUCACUAUAAAGUGAAAUAAGUCGUAACAUAGUAGAUGUACUGGAAAGUGUAUCUAGAAAGACAAAUUAGAGCUUGAAAAAAGCAUUUUAUUUACAUUAAAAAGUUUAUUGUGAGAAUCAGUAUAAUUUGAAUUUAAUUUAUUAUUAAUAUUAUAUUUUUAAAUUUUAUUUUAAAAAAAUAGUUUAUUGUUUUAUUAAUUAAGAUGAAUAAAUUUGUUUUAUUAUAGUGAAUUAUUAUUGUAAAAGAAAUAAUAAAAAUAUUUGAAAUAAUAAUUAAAUUUUAAAAAACAUGGCCUUUUGAUUUUAAUUUAAGGUCUCACCUGCCCAAUGAAUAGUUAAAUGGCCGCGGUAUUUUGACCGUGCAAAGGUAGCAUAAUCAUUUGUUUUUUAAUUGAAAGCUUGAAUGAAAGGUUGAAUGAAAAAAUUUCUGUCUCUAUUUAAAUUUAUUAUAAUUUUAUUUUUAAGUUAAAAAGCUUAACUAAAUUUUGAAGACGAGAAGACCCUAUAGAGUUUAAUAAUUAAAUGAAUUAAAAUUUUUAGGAUUUGUUUCUUUUAAUUUUGUUAAUUAUUUAAUUGGGGUGAUUAAAAAAUUUAUUUAACUUUUUUUGUAUAUUUACAUAAAUUAAUGAAUUAUUGAUCCUUUUUUUAAGAUUAAAAGAUUAAAUUACCUUAGGGAUAACAGCGUAAUUUUUUUUUAGAGUUCAAAUUAAAAGAAAAGAUUGCGACCUCGAUGUUGGAUUAAAAAUAAAAUUUGGUGUAGUAGCUAAAUUAUUAGGUCUGUUCGACCUUUAAAAUUUUACUUGAUCUGAGUUCAAACCGGUGUAAGCCAGGUUGGUUUCUAUCUCAAAAUAGAUAAAAUAUUUUAGUACGAAAGGACCUAAAUGUUUAGUUAAAAAUUUCUAUUAGUUGAAUAAUAUUAGUUAUUUUGGCUAGAAUAGUGCGAAUGGAUUUAGAAUCUUUAUAUGUAAUUUUUACAAAUAAUACUUGAUAUUAAAAGAUUUACUUCUAAUAUUAAUUUCUAUAUUAAUUUUGGCUUUUUCUGUAAUAAUUGGGGUUGCCUUUUUAACAUUAUUAGAGCGUAAAGUAUUAGGAUAUAUUCAAAUUC